Molecule: unclassified non-coding RNA, 1237 nt
Filed under: Enterococcus faecium
Lineage: Bacteria; Bacillati; Bacillota; Bacilli; Lactobacillales; Enterococcaceae
Description: partial 16S-23S ribosomal RNA intergenic spacer
Rfam family: Bacterial small subunit ribosomal RNA (bases 1-862)
Source: RNAcentral
AUUAAUCGACGGCGCAACCCACAGUUGGGAGGGCGGGUCUGUUCUGGUUCUGUAACUGAUGCCUGAGGGCUCGGAUAGGCGUUGGGGAGCCAAUCAGGAAUAAGAUACCCUGGCUAUCUCCAUCCCAGUCAUACAGAGAGUUGUAAGUGUUCGAAGGGUUUCCGGCCUUUCAGUGCUGCAAGUACGCACUUAAGCACUCCGCCUGGGGAGUUCGGCCGCUAAGGUUGACACUCAAAGGAAUGACGGGGGCCCUGCACAAGCGGUGGAGCAUGUGGUUUAAUUGAAGCAACGCGAAGAACCUUACCAGGUCUUGACAUCCUUUGACCACUCUAGAGAUAGAGCUUCCCCUUCGGGGGCAAAGUGACAGGUGGUGCAUGGUUGUCGUCAGCUCGUGUCGUGAGAUGUUGGGUUAAGUCCCGCAACGAGCGCAACCCUUAUUGUUAGUUGCCAUCAUUCAGUUGGGCACUCUAGCAAGACUUGCCGGUGACAAACCGGAGGAAGGUGGGGAUGACGUCAAAUCAUCAUGCCCCUUAUGACCUGGGCUACACACGUGCUACAAUGGGAAGUACAACGAGUUGCGAAGUCGCGAGGCUAAGCUAAUCUCUUAAAGCUUCUCUCAGUUCGGAUGGCAGGCUGCAACUCGCCUGCAUGAAGCCGGAAUCGGUAGUAAUCGCGGAUCAGCACGCCGCGGUGAAUACGUUCCCGGGCCUUGUACACACCGCCCGUCACACCACGAGAGUUUGUAACACCCGAAGUCGGUGAGGUAACCUUUUGGAGCCAGCCGCCUAAGGUGGGAUAGAUGAUUGGGGUGAAGUCGUAACAAGGUAGCCGUAUCGGAAGGUGCGGCUGGAUCACCUCCUUUAUAAGGAAUAUUACGGAGACUACACAAUUUGUUUUUACUUUGUUCAGUUUUGAGAGGUUUACUCUCAAACACUUUUGUUCAUUGAAAACUGGAUAUUUGAAGUAAAUGUAAGUAAUACAAACCGAGAACACCGCGUUGAAUUUGAAAGCUGAACAAAUUGUUUAGCCUGAAGCAAAAUAGGCGGACGGCCAUAAAAUCUUUGAUUUUAUGAGACGAUCGAUCUUUUUGCCGUACAGGCUGAUUUGUGAGCUGGAUAGAGUUUUUUAAUAAGUUCAAUUGCUUAUUUUCUUGAUCUAACUUCUAUCGCUAGAAGAAGGAUCAAAACCCAACCGUAAGGUUGAUAAGGUUAAGGAAUAAGGGCGCCGGGGUGGUUUC